This 424-nucleotide ribosomal RNA is filed under the name Verrucomicrobiota bacterium. Its description in RNAcentral is "Verrucomicrobia bacterium partial 16S ribosomal RNA". It matches the Rfam family "Bacterial small subunit ribosomal RNA", at positions 355 to 776 of the family's 1533-position model. Lineage: Bacteria; Pseudomonadati; Verrucomicrobiota. The record is from RNAcentral.
UGAGGAAUAUUGGUCAAUGGGCGAGAGCCUGAACCAGCCAAGUAGCGUGCAGGAUGACGGCCCUAUGGGUUGUAAACUGCUUUUAUAUGGGAAUAAAGUGAGGGACGUGUCCCUUAUUGCAUGUACCAUAUGAAUAAGGACCGGCUAAUUCCGUGCCAGCAGCCGCGGUAAUACGGAAGGUCCAGGCGUUAUCCGGAUUUAUUGGGUUUAAAGGGAGCGUAGGCUGUUUGUUAAGCGUGUUGUGAAAUGUAAGAGCUCAACUUUUAGAUUGCAGCGCGAACUGGCAGACUUGAGUGCGCACAACGUAGGCGGAAUUCAUGGUGUAGCGGUGAAAUGCUUAGAUAUCAUGACGAACUCCGAUUGCGAAGGCAGCUUACGGGAGCGCAACUGACGCUAAAGCUCGAAGGUGAGGGUAUCGAACAGG